This is a long non-coding RNA of Homo sapiens (human), 1431 nucleotides long. The record is from Ensembl. Lineage: Eukaryota; Metazoa; Chordata; Mammalia; Primates; Hominidae.
GCAUGCUCAGUGCGCGGCCGGAGGAGGCGAGCGCUGGGGACGCAGCACCUGCCCCGCGCGGCCGAGAGGCGGCAGCCCCAGGUCCCCAGCGCGCGAAAUUAGUAAAGGGCGCCUGGCCCGAUUCUCAGGCAAGAGGAGAUUAUCAGCCGGAUUCCCGUGCGGGGACGUAGGGGUUGCGUUGUUCAGCGGCCAGGGAUGCGCCGAGGCGAUGUCUCCUCCCUUUACAACCCGAGUAUCGGGGCACGAGGAGGCGCGACCUUCCUGGGUACCCAAACCUCUGGCCUCCGGGAGACGCGGAAUUCGGGGGAUCGUUAAGGCGCCCUGGCCAGGGAAACAGAUGCUUCUGCGUCUGGGCUGAAAAUUGCUGAACCGGGGAAUGUGGGUGGGCGGGUGGCAUUGAACUUAGGCCAGAAGAGGGGGCUUUGGUAGGUUUUUACCUGCCUGUCCUUAGGCGGAGGACACUGGCUGGACAGGCUGCGUUACACACCUGAAGUCUCAUCCACGCAAAGUGCUUUCAGAAGUGGCUCCCUUCGCCGCAACUCCACACCUCGGGGUAACCGUAGAGAUUGGCAGCAAUGCCCCAGCCCCUCACCAGCACUGUGCAAAGUGACUUUGACAGGCAGAGAAAAGCCAACCCAGUCGAAUUCGUCUGGAAAGCAUUCCAGCAACCCAGAGAGGAGCCUCUGUUUCUCUCUCUGGGAAAAAGCCCCAAGGGUUUUGCUGAACCCAGGUCUUCCUGCUCAUCUCUCAGCAGUUCAGAGCUACAUAAACAACUUCUGACCAUUUACGCAAUCAUGUAAACCUACCCUGACAUCUCCACUAUGUGGAAAAGAUGUUAACUGGAAAACUAUUUUUAAACUACUGCAGUAAGCAAAUAAACAUCCAACUCCAACAUAUAUAUGCAGCAGCCUUAUUAGUUCAUUCAGUGUUGGUUUGGUUUGUUUGUUUUGUCUUCUGCUUUUUAGAAUUAAUUAUUAUCUUUAUAAUUCCUGUUCGAGAAGUGGGCAAAACCAGGCUAGUGAUAGGUAUUGUUGUGGUCAAAUUUUUCAUCACUUGAAAUUCCAUGACUUUCAUGAUUGCUGAGAUUAAUGCUAAAUAAAGAAGUUACCCCCCCGCCCCCACCCCACCCCAACCUCCCCACCAAAGUUUCCUGAUUACUUAAACUUGGAGAGAAAUUUUCAGGCUUUUUCCUCCCUCCUUGCCUGGUAUGUGUCUGUAAUAGAGGUACUUUUGCAAAACUGGAAUGUUGGUGAUGCAGGUGUUUUCCAUGGUAAACAGCCACUGAGGAUCAAUGGUUCCCAGGUUCCCACUCACUUUGAAGGCUUUUGUGCUUCUGCCGGAACUGUGACUUUUACUACCUGUACUAUGUAUGAUUUUUUUUUACAUUGAUUAUUUCUCUGCAACUAGUCAAUUAAAAGUACAUAUAUAUAA